RNAcentral lists this long non-coding RNA (3559 nucleotides) under Sinocyclocheilus grahami. RNAcentral describes it as "lncRNA (ENSSGRG00000001675.1)". The record is from RNAcentral. Lineage: Eukaryota; Metazoa; Chordata; Actinopteri; Cypriniformes; Cyprinidae.
UGAGCGCCCGCCUCUGGAGGACAUGCGCCGGGGACUCGACACGUGAUCCGCUCGCCACAAUCCAGUAUGGCGGAAUCCGUCGGCGAGUGGAUCCGUCUUUGGCGCGCUCUCCAACGGGAAUAAAGUCCGGAGCGGUGCGUCCGAUCGCGGUGGAGCUGCGGAGAGUUCAUUCUUAUCGAGCGAAGAGGAACCGACACACACAGCUGGAUUUCGGCCAGAGGGGGCGCUAUGGGCCUCUGAGAUCGUCCUUUCUUUCCUGUCCCGCGUCUCUUUUGACUCGUCUUCCCAUUCAACAGUGGAUGGUGACCAGCCAACAAGCCCCAGAGGAGCCGUGAGGUGUUUCUCACAUCCUCAUCUGCCAGGACACACUCCUCUUAUUAUCAAGCCAUUCACUUCAGAGAAAGCCGCCACCGUCGCCACAAUGAGUUCCCACAGCCGCCCAGAUGGACUUCCCAGUAAAGAACAGCCACUGAAACUUCUGAAGCCAUCUGGAGUCAAUCACAUUCCUCCUGUUGAUGUGAGUGCGGUGCUGCCACUGCAAGUGCCGCCUUCUGCCAUCCCCAUGGACCUGCGUGUGGAUCACCAGUUCGCCCUGGCGCCGACGGACCCGGCCCAGCGCGAGCAGCAGCUGCAGCAGGAGCUUCUGGCCCUCAAGCAGAAACAGCAGAUACAGAGGCAGAUCCUGAUCGCAGAGUUUCAGCGGCAGCACGAGCAGCUCUCACGCCAGCAUGAAGCGCAGCUGCAGGAGCACGUCAAGCAUCAGCAGGACCUCCUGGCCCUGAAACAUCAGCAGGAGCUCCUGGAACACCAGCGGAAGUUGGAGCGCCAUCGUCAGGAGCAGGAGCUGGAGAAACAGCAGCGGGAACAGAAGCUCCAGUUACUCAAAAACAAAGAACGCGGCCAAGAGAGCGCUGUGGCGAGCACUGAGGUGAAGAUGAGGUUGCAGGAGUUCGUCCUCAACAAGAAGAAAGCGCUGGCCCAGAGGAGCCUCAACCACUGCCUGCCCAACGACCCGCGCUACUGGUACGGGAAAACCCAGCACAGCUCCCUGGACCAGAGCUCACCGCCUCAGACAGGGAUUUCCACUUACAACCACCCGGUGCUGGGAAUGUACGACCCCAAAGAUGACUUCCCGCUCCGCAAGACGGCAUCUGAGCCCAACCUGAAGCUGCGAUCCAGGCUGAAGCAGAAAGUUACGGAGCGCAGGAGUAGCCCGCUGCUUCGGAGGAAGGAUGGUCCGAUCACCACUGCAAAGAAGCGCUCUCUGGACAUGGCAGAAUCGGCAUGCAGCAGUGCUCCUGGUUCUGGUCCGAGUUCACCCAACAACAGUUCAAACAAUAUUACCAAUGAGAACGGCAUCGCUGGAUCAAUCUCCAGCAGUCCAGUGGAGCCAUCUUUGGUGCACAGACUCACGGGCAGAGAGGGUCCUGUUAGCCAGCUGUCUCUGUACACAUCGCCCUCCCUUCCCAACAUCACCCUGGGCCUGCCAGCCACCGGCCCCUCCAGCGUGGCAUCUGGCCUACAGGAUGGUGACAGAAUGGCUGUGCCAGGCUUGCAGCCAGGAAUACCCAUAACCACUCCGUUCAUGCCAGGAGCCCACCUGCCUUCUUACCUGGCCGCGUCCACCUUAGAGCGGGAGGGUGGCUCAGCACACAACACUCUCCUGCAGCAUAUGGUACAGAACUCCCUGGUCGCAGGCCUGGGGGGCGUGCCCCUGCAGUCGCAUUCCAUCCACAAGCUCCGGCAGCAUCGGCCCCUCGGACGCACGCAGUCGGCCCCCCUGCCCCAGAAUGCCCAGGCGCUGCAGCAGCUGGUGGUUCAACAGCAACACCAGCAGUUCCUGGAAAAACACAAGCAACAGUUCCAGCAGCAGCAGCUUCACAUCAGCAAGAUGAUGGCUAAGCCGAACGAGCCGGGCCGACAGCAUGAGAGCCACCCGGAGGAGACGGAGGAGGAGCUGCGGGAGCACCAGGGCCUGGGCGACUCCACGGAGGCUCUUCCUCACGGGGUCACCAUCAAACAGGAACCUCCGGAUGAGCAGGAUGAAGAGUUCCAGCAGAGAGAGAUGCAACCCGAGGAAGAGCUGCUCUUCAGACAGCAAGCUCUCCUGUUGGAGCAACAGAGGAUCCAUCAGCUGAGGAACUUUCAGGCAUCCAUGGAAGCGGCCGGUCUGUCUGUGACCUUCCCAGGCCAUCGGCCCCUGUCCAGAGCACAAUCAUCCCCGGCCUCUGCGACCUUUCCCAUUGUGGUGCAGGAACCUCCAGCCAAACCGCGCUUUACCACCGGUCUGGUGUACGACACCCUGAUGCAGAAACACCAGUGCAUGUGUGGAAACAGUAACAACCACCCCGAACACGCCGGGCGCAUCCAGAGCAUCUGGUCACGACUGCAGGAGACGGGACUGCGCGGCCAGUGUGAGUGUAUUCGAGGCAGGAAAGCCACUCUGGAGGAGCUACAGACGGUCCACACUGAGCCUCAUGUGCUGCUUUACGGAACCAACCCUCUCAGACAGAAACUGGACAGUAAGAGCUCAGUGACACCCAUGUUCGUGAGACUGCCGUGCGGAGGAAUCGGGGUUGACAGUGACACUAUCUGGAAUGAAGUUCACUCGUCCAGUGCUGCUCGUCUGGCUGUGGGAUCUGUAGUGGAUCUGGUGUUUAAAGUGGCUUCAGGAGAGCUGAGGAACGGCUUUGCUGUGGUGCGACCUCCAGGACAUCACGCUGAGGAGAGCACUCCCAUGGGAUUUUGCUAUUUCAACUCGGUCGCCAUUGCAGCCAAACUCCUGCAGCAGAGACUCAACGUCAGUAAGAUUCUCAUUGUGGACUGGGAUGUUCACCAUGGAAAUGGGACUCAACAGGCCUUCUACAGUGACCCUAAUGUCCUGUAUGUGUCUCUCCAUCGCUACGAUGAUGGGAACUUCUUCCCUGGCAGCGGAGCCCAUGAUGAGGUGGGCAUCGGGCCAGGCAUGGGCUUUAACGUGAACAUGGCCUUCACCGGAGGUCUGGAGCCGCCCAUGGGAGACGCAGACUAUCUGGCAGCAUUCAGGACGGUGGUGAUGCCAAUUGCGAACGAGUUCGCUCCAGACGUGGUGCUGGUUUCUUCAGGCUUCGACGCUGUGGAGGGGCAUCUGCCACCUCUGGGAGGAUACAAGCUCACGGCCAAAUGUUUCGGCUACCUGACCAAGCAGCUGAUGGGACUGGCCGGCGGCCGGCUGGUGCUCGCGCUGGAGGGGGGUCACGACCUCACCGCUAUUUGCGAUGCCUCUGAAGCAUGUGUUUCUGCUUUGCUUGGAAACGAGUUGGACCCUCUUCCUGAAGACGUGCUACAACAGAGGCCGAACCCCAAUGCCAUUCACUCCAUGGAGAAAGUUCUGGAAGUCCACAGUAAAUACUGGCGCUCGCUGCAGAGAUCUGCCUCGACUCUGGGAUACUCACUGCUGGAGGCUCAGAGAUGUGAAACUGAAGAGGCAGAGACGGUGACCGCCAUGGCCUCCCUGUCUGUGGCCAACAAGCACAUGGGAAAGAGGUGCACCAUUUCUCCAGUAGAAAGUGUCACAUGA